RNAcentral lists this ribosomal RNA (74 nucleotides) under uncultured bacterium. Its description in RNAcentral is "partial 16S ribosomal RNA". The record is from RNAcentral.
GUGUAUUGCACCAGAAGCAGGUAGCCUGACCGCAAGGACGGCGGCCUACCACGGUGUGGUCCAUGACUGGGGUG